Molecule: ribosomal RNA, 597 nt
Filed under: Coprinellus domesticus
Lineage: Eukaryota; Fungi; Basidiomycota; Agaricomycetes; Agaricales; Psathyrellaceae
Description: eukaryotic LSU rRNA
Rfam family: Eukaryotic large subunit ribosomal RNA
Source: RNAcentral
GGAUUCCCCUAGUAACUGCGAGUGAAGCGGGAAAAGCUCAAAUUUAAAAUCUGGCGGUCCUUGGCCGUCCGAGUUGUAAUCUAGAGAAGUGUUACCCGCGUCGGACCGUGUACAAGUCUCCUGGAAUGGAGCGUCAUAGAGGGUGAGAAUCCCGUCUUUGACACGGACUACCGAGGCUUUGUGGUGCGCUCUCAAAGAGUCGAGUUGUUUGGGAAUGCAGCUCAAAAUGGGUGGUAAAUUCCAUCUAAAGCUAAAUAUUGGCGAGAGACCGAUAGCGAACAAGUACCGUGAGGGAAAGAUGAAAAGAACUUUGGAAAGAGAGUUAAACAGUACGUGAAAUUGCUGAAAGGGAAACGCUUGAAGUCAGUCGCGUCGUCCGGGAAUCAGCCUUCCUUCUGGUUGGUGUACUUCCUGGUUGACGGGCCAGCAUCAGUUUUGACCGGUGGAAAAAGUUCGAGGGAAUGUGGCACCUCCGGGUGUGUUAUAGCCCUCGUUCGUAUACAUCGGUUGGGACUGAGGAACUCAGCACGCCGCAAGGCCGGGAUUCGUCCACGUUCGUGCUUAGGAUGCUGGCAUAAUGGCUUUAAUCGACCCGUC